CUACGGGGGGCUGCAGUGGGGAAUAUUGGACAAUGGGGGAAACCCUGAUCCAGCAAUGCCGCGUGUGUGAAGAAGGCCUGCGGGUUGUAAAGCACUUUCGGUUGGGAGGACUGCUUCUAGCACUAAUAUUGUUGGAAGUUGACGUUACCUUCAGAAGAAGCACCGGCUAACUCCGUGCCAGCAGCCGCGGUAAUACGGAGGGUGCAAGCGUUAAUCGGAAUUACUGGGCGUAAAGCGCGCGUAGGCGGCUAGAUCAGUCGGGUGUGAAAGCCCCGGGCUUAACCUGGGAACUGCAUCCGAUACUGUCUAGCUUGAGUACAGGAGAGGAGAGUGGAAUUCCACAUGUAGUGGUGAAAUGCGUAGAUAUGUGGAGGAACACCAAUGGCGAAGGCAGCUCUCUGGCCUGAUACUGACGCUGAGGUACGAAAGCGUGAGGAGCAAACAGGAUUAGAUACCCCUGUAGUC
RNAcentral lists this ribosomal RNA (465 nucleotides) under uncultured bacterium. Its description in RNAcentral is "partial 16S ribosomal RNA". It matches the Rfam family "Bacterial small subunit ribosomal RNA", at positions 339 to 795 of the family's 1533-position model. The record is from RNAcentral.